This is a non-coding RNA of Manis javanica (Malayan pangolin), 1997 nucleotides long. The record is from RefSeq and is a predicted model, not a curated record. NCBI's taxonomy places the organism in Eukaryota, Metazoa, Chordata, Mammalia, Pholidota, Manidae.
GCCGUCUAGCCCUCGCCGGGGCUGGGCCGCGGCUCCUGCGGGCGGAAGGGGCCGGGCCGGCGGGAGGAGAGCGAGGCGGGGGCCGGCGGGCGGCGCCGCGCGAAGGGACCGAAGUACUCGGCGGCGAAGCCAGAGGCUUCACUCACCUACCUCCCUCGUGAUGGGCAUCUUGGUGACCAUGCAGUACCCCGGGGAGCCCACCUGGACUCUCUUGGCCAGAUGUCUGGAGUGCAACACAGAAGCUACUGGGUGCUGUUCAUCCCCCUGGAGAUGCAUAUGGAUGUUCUAGGGCCGGCCUGAGAUCCUAGAGGCGAAAGCACUAAAAAAAUUGUGAGCCUCUUGCUGUGUGACACUCAAAGUAGAAACAAGUCAACAAGUUAUGAAAUAAGGAGCACCAACAAUGUUCUGAUUACCUUUCUUCCAGUGUAAUGAUUAUGUCAAUAGCUCUUCAGAAAUUUCAACAAAUUCUUCUCCUCUCCCUCCCAGAUUUUCUCAUGAUUUGGUACCUGUGCUUUGCUGGUGACCGCUUGGCACUGUGCUUCUCCCAGUCCACUGAUUUUUAUCAAGUGUCCAAUUGUUCAAACCUUGGUGUUUUGCAGCAUUACACCCAACACCUGUGGCAACUGCUUUAGCUAAGCCUUAGGCCCUGUGGAGUUGGCGUUGACUUCCCCAGCCCUUUAGGAUUCUUUGGUGUGGUUUGGGAGGAUCAGGAGAAUAAGUGAAUCAAUGAAGAAAGGGUGAUUGGGGUGGACAAAGCAAGGGGCCAUCAGAUCUCAACAGCAGCUCUUCCUUGUGGUAUCCCCAGCAACCGCUGUCUCCUUUUACUCAACACUGCCCCCUGGGCCCCACCAUCAGGAGCGCUCACCCAUCAGAGAGCAGGAAGAACUGGCAGGACAUGGGGAUGCCCGCAGUGGAGUGAACAGUCUGCUCCACAAUGAACACUUUCACCUGCUGACGGUCCACCUGGAUUGUCUGGAAGCCUAGGCCUUCCUGGCAGCCACCAAAAUGGAGGAAGGAGGUGAGGUGAAUGUCCGCCAGGUUCUCACUCCAAAUUCUCCCCCAGUCCUUUUCUCCAUCCUGCACCUUCAUUCCUUGUUCACCAGUGAUAAGCAACCCUUGGAUGUCCAGAGCCUUGGGCGCCACGAGAUUUGAGUUGGGGGGCCCCUCAUAAGGAGCCAAGUUUGCCCUUCUUCUGCGCCAACCUCUCCCCAACCCAUCUCCACAACCAUGUGCUUCUAGUUGGUGGAUUCUGUUUCAUGGAUGAGGAUCAACCAGUUAGGGGUGAGUGGGAAGAGGGUUGGGGGGCUGGGCUGUCUGGGGGAGGUGUCAGGUACUGAGGAGUGACAGGUUGGGGUUUGUGGCCGCUCAGGCCCACGCUGCUGCAGGCAGAGGGCCAUGUUGUAAUUAAACUCCUGUCUGGUGGCCGGCCAUCGGGAGAAAGGUGCUAACACAGAAUGUGUGCUUCAAAUGAAAUGGGGGAACUUGGCAUAGGCCUGUAUGUGUCACACACAUCACUCUGUCAUAUUUGUGUAUUGUGUCAUUUACAGUCAAAUCUGUGCCCAAAGUGUGUGUUCAGUAGUGCAGCUUUGAAAUCACAUAUUGCAAGAAGUCCUAGCCUAGGUAUGUUGAUAAUGACAUUUUCUCCAAAAAAAAAUAAUAAAACAACAAAAAACACCCUUCAGGGUUGAGACAUAAUAAAAGAAUAUCUGUGUGUAGUUGGAGAUGUUGUAUUUCCUGAUGUUAAAAACUGUGUCUUUAAAAGCAGACCUCUGCUAUGUUUAUUUUUCCUAUGUGCCAAAAGCAUUGCUUCCGUCACUUCUCACCCCUCUCAUCCCAUCUGCUGCACACCUGAUCUAGCAAUGCAGCCUAUCUUCUCCUGCUCAUGAAAGCCCUCUCAUCACGACCGAUUUUAUCCCCACCCACCGCACUCCCUCUUCUACUGCACGACUGUCUUUUCUCCCAACCAGCCACCUUCACGCCCUUCUAGUUUGCCCCUG